This 568-nucleotide ribosomal RNA is filed under the name Agathistoma nordestinum. RNAcentral's name for it is "partial large subunit ribosomal RNA". It matches the Rfam family "Bacterial large subunit ribosomal RNA", at positions 1809 to 2605 of the family's 2925-position model. Lineage: Eukaryota; Metazoa; Mollusca; Gastropoda; Trochida; Tegulidae. The record is from RNAcentral.
AAAAACAUCGCUCUCUGAAUUGUAAUUUUAUAACAGAAAUAUAUAGGGAGUCGGGCCUGCCCAGUGACAUUUAAUGUUAAACGGCCGCGGUACCCUGACCGUGCAAAGGUAGCAUAAUCAUUUGCCCUUUAAUUGAGGGCUGGUAUGAAUGGCUUGACGAGAGCUGGACUGUCUCUUUUCAAAUUUAUAAAAAUUAGCUUUUAAGUGAAGAGACUUAAAUUUAACUGAGUGACGAAAAGACCCUAUUGAGCUUUAGUGAACUGAUAAAAAUAUUAAUUUUUAUGCAUUUAGGUGCAUUUGUGCUUUAUUAGAAAUCUUUAGUUGGGGCGACUUAGGAGCAAAGAAAGCUUCCUCUAUACUUAUAUAAAAAUUAAAGUAAUCAAACUAAAUUAUUAGAUCCAGUACAUGCUGAUCAGAGGAAGAAGUUACCAUAGGGAUAACAGCGUGAUCUUUCUGGAGAGUUCUUAUUGAAGGGAAGGUUUACGACCUCGAUGUUGGACUAAGAUAUCCUGGAGGUGCAGAAGCUUCUAAUGGUUAGUCUGUUCGACUAUUAAAAUCUUACGUGAUC